Molecule: ribosomal RNA, 771 nt
Filed under: uncultured Rhizophagus
Lineage: Eukaryota; Fungi; Glomeromycota; Glomeromycetes; Glomerales; Glomeraceae
Description: SSU rRNA
Rfam family: Eukaryotic small subunit ribosomal RNA
Source: RNAcentral
UGUAGGAUAGAGGCCUACCAUGGUGGUAACGGGUAACGGGGUGUUAGGGCACGACACCGGAGAGGGAGCCUGAGAAACGGCUACCACAUCCAAGGAUGGCAGCAGGCGCGCAAAUUACCCAAUCCCGACACGGGGAGGUAGUGACAAUAAAUAACAAUACGGGGUUCUUUAGGAUCUCGUAAUUGGAAUGAGUACAAUUUAAAUCUCUUAACGAGGAACAAUUGGAGGGCAAGUCUGGUGCCAGCAGCCGCGGUAAUUCCAGCUCCAAUAGCGUAUAUUAAAGUUGUUGCAGUUAAAAAGCUCGUAGUUGAAUUUCGGGGUUAGUAGGUUGGUCAUGCCUCUGGUAUGUACUGGUCUCACUGAUUCCUCCUUCCUGAUGAACCUUAAUGCCAUUAAUUUGGUGUUUUGGGGAAUUUGGACUGUUACUUUGAAAAAAUUAGAGUGUUUAAAGCAAGCUAACGCUUGAAUACAUUAGCAUGGAAUAAUGAAAUAGGACGUUCGAUCCUAUUUUGUUGGUUUCUAGGAUUGACGUAAUGAUUAAUAGGGAUAGUUGGGGGCAUUAGUAUUCAAUUGUCAGAGGUGAAAUUCUUGGAUUUAUUGAAGACUAACUACUGCGAAAGCAUUUGCCAAGGAUGUUUUCAUUAAUCAAGAACGAAAGUUAGGGGAUCGAAGACGAUCAGAUACCGUCGUAGUCUUAACCAUAGACUAUGCCGACUAGGGAUCGGAUGAUGUUAAUUUUUUAAUGACUCAUUCGGCGCGUUACGGAAACCA